This 420-nucleotide ribosomal RNA is filed under the name Haliotis sorenseni (white abalone). RNAcentral's name for it is "partial 16S ribosomal RNA". It matches the Rfam family "Bacterial large subunit ribosomal RNA", at positions 1860 to 2526 of the family's 2925-position model. The record is from RNAcentral. Lineage: Eukaryota; Metazoa; Mollusca; Gastropoda; Lepetellida; Haliotidae.
UGCCCGGUGACCUACGGGUUAAACGGCCGCGGUACACUGACCGUGCAAAGGUAGCACAAUCACUUGCCUUUUAAUUGGAGGCUGGUAUGAAUGGUUUGACGAGGGCUGAGCUGUCUCUCCUGGAAUAUUUAAAAAUUAACUUCUAAGUGAAAAGGCUUAGAUUUAACUGAGGGACGAGAAGACCCUGUUGAGCUUUAGUGUGGAAUAAAAGGUUUAUUUUUAUUAGAAUAGAGGAUUUUAAGUUUAUUCUUACAUCUUUAGUUGGGGUGACUAGGGAACAUGGAAAGCUUCUCUGUUAAUUUGUAGAAAUUUGGUUUACUAACGAGUGAUCCAGCAUUGCUGAUUAUCGGAAAAAGUUACCACAGGGAUAACAGCGUAAUCUUUCUGGAGAGUUCACAUUGAAAGAAGGGUUUGCGACCU